GAAUGGCUAAAUUAGCAAAAAUUUACCACCUGUCUGAUAACAAGUGCUGGAAAUGUAAAGAGUGUGAAGGAACGUUCUUUCACCUCUGGUGGACCUGCCCUAAAGUGAAGGCGUUCUGGGAAAUGAUUUAUAAUGAAUUGAAAAGGUAUUUAAAUAUACUUUCACUAAGAAACCAGAGGCUUUCCUUUUGGGUAUUGUCAGCCAAGGGGUGGCAAAGAAGGACCAGACAUUUUUAUGUAUGCAACAACAGCAGCAAGGAUACUACUCGCAAAACAUUGGAAAACUCAAGAUCUACCCACACUGGAAGAAUGGCAGAUGCAACUGAUAGACUAUAUGCAACUGGCUGAAAUGACUGGCAGAAUCCGUGACCUGGGAGAAGAGAGAAUCGAGGAGGAUUGGAAGAAAUUUAAGAACUACCUACAAAAAUAUUGUGAUUUGACUGAAUGCUGAAUAAGAUGCUAGACUAAAUAACUGAGCACCACUUAACUUAGAAGUUUUUAAGAAAAUAAGAAAAACUGUGAAAGUUUAACUCUUUAUGAGAACUAUGAGAUCAUGAAAUAUCGAAGAGAUAUAAGAAUUUAAAUAAGAUGAUAAAUUGCUGACAAAAUGUUAUAAUGAUGAAGGUGGGUGCGGGAGAUGUGAGGAAGUCCAAAGAAAAUGUGAAAUUAUGUUAAGACGAAUGUUAUAUUUUUUAUUAAAUUUAUUCCUAUUGUAAAAUCCAAUAAAUUGCUUU
Molecule: long non-coding RNA, 733 nt
Filed under: Podarcis lilfordi (Lilford's wall lizard)
Lineage: Eukaryota; Metazoa; Chordata; Lepidosauria; Squamata; Lacertidae
Source: RNAcentral